Long non-coding RNA from Tyto alba (common barn owl), 1097 nucleotides. RefSeq lists it as uncharacterized. The transcript has 3 exons. The record is from RefSeq and is a predicted model, not a curated record. Lineage: Eukaryota; Metazoa; Chordata; Aves; Strigiformes; Tytonidae.
GUCUGGCGUAGAUUACGAAGGCUUUCCCUUUUCCUGAUGUUGUAGGAAGGGGAAUUACAUUUCGGCGGGACAUGUUUCGUACGGCUACGGCACCCGCCGGAGGGCCUGAGCCGUGGGGGUGCUUGUGAGGGACGCUGCAGCAAGGAUGCGCGGCUCGGGACGCCGUCGGCCUCGCCGGGAAGGUGGGCAAGCCCCUGUACCCGAGACUGGAGGGAGACACUGAAAGCUGUUUUAUGGCACAUUUAAUGAUCCAGCCCGCCUUUAAGCACCGAAAGGACCGUUUCCAAAGGAGAACAGUGGUUUUCAUAAAUUUGUUCUACGUGGCACUUGACCUCUCAGUUUAGCUACUGUGCACAUAGAUGAAGUCAUCAGCAGUCCCACUCUGCAUCAAUUUGACCUCAUCUUUUGCUCUAGAAACAGCAUUGUGUUCUCCUGACAGCUGUAAGGACCCCUUAAACAGCACCGCCUGGAGACCUGGGACACUACUCACCGUCAUGUAUAAAUGACUUCAUGACAGUUAACAAAGCAUAUCUAUACUAUUUUAUAAGAUUUAGCUAAUAGCCCUGUUGUUUUCAGACAUGGUACUAUGUUUAGAAUCUGGGUGGUAUAUCUCAUCACUGCUUUUCUUGCUCUUAAAUGCAGAGCAAAUGGAGGUUUUGUCCUGGUGAAGAUAAUGCGGAGCCCCUGGACCAUCAAUGAUCCAGGCUUCUUUUGUUUAAACCCAGGCCUUACCCAUGAAGCUACCGGAUAAUACUUAAGAAGUACUAUAGAAAACUAAAGUCUUGACAUCCAUGGACUUCAGGUCAAACCCAUAUACUACUUGGAUUCUCCAGUAGAAGUGUGAUAGCUUUUCUAAGAGUUAUCUUACUCAGUAAAACAAUGUCCUUUCAUGGAGGUGCAACAGAGAUUCCAAGAGCUGUCUGGAUGUGGAGAAUGAUCUCCCUCGGAGCAGUCCUGCCUGGAAAGGGUGACUUGAAUUGCUGCAUGAUGCUGUGUCAAUUCCUCUUUGGAGGGAUCUCAUCCUCAGGUUUGGCAAUUAGGAUAGUAUGUUAAACAUUGUAUUUAGUAAAAAUAAAUACAAAUAAGUUAAAAACAAA